Molecule: long non-coding RNA, 162 nt
Organism: Thunnus maccoyii (southern bluefin tuna)
Lineage: Eukaryota; Metazoa; Chordata; Actinopteri; Scombriformes; Scombridae
Exons: 3
Source: RefSeq, a predicted model, not a curated record
AUCCUAUACAUAUCGCUGGUGUUACCCAAGACAUUGAACAGUGGGCUGUGCUGGGAUUUGUGCCGUCACAACUGUGGGGAGAAAUCACAGGCAGCCUCCCCCAAAAGAUAUGGAUCAAGUGAAUCAUCCAAGUUGGUAGCUCCGGGUCUGAGAAGUGAAGCC